CCAGCCUGCGAGGUUCAGUGGUUGAGCUUUGACCUCUGCACCUGGAGGUCAUGAUUCCAUUCCCAGUUAGGGCACAUGCCCGGGUUGAGGCCUCAAUCCCUGGUGUGGGGCA
Myotis brandtii (Brandt's bat) is the source of this 112-nucleotide long non-coding RNA. RefSeq lists it as uncharacterized. Lineage: Eukaryota; Metazoa; Chordata; Mammalia; Chiroptera; Vespertilionidae. The record is from RefSeq and is a predicted model, not a curated record. The transcript has 3 exons.